GUUGGAAAAAAGAUUCAGUAGCAGCAGUAGUACUACUAGUAGUAUCAGUAAUAUAAAUAGCAGUAGUAAUAGUAGUAGUAUUAGUGAUGGUGGUCAUAGUAGUAGUAGUAGCAGUAGUAGUAAUAGAAGAAGCAGUAGUAAUAUUAGUAGUAUUAGUGGUGGUGGUGAUGGUGGUAGUAGAAGUAGUAGUAGCAGUAGUAUUAUUGGUGGUGGUGAUGAUAGUAGUAGUAGUAGUCGUAGUAUUAGUGGUAGUGGUGAUGGUAAUAGUAGUAAUAGUAGUAGUAUUAGUGGUGGUGGUGGUGAUGGUAGUAGUAGUAGUAUUGGUGGUGAUGGUAGUAGUAGUAUUAGUAGUAGUAGUUGUAGUGGUGGUGGUGAUGAUGAUAGUAGCAGUAGUAGUAGUAGUAGUAGUAGUAGUAGUAUAAGUCGUUGUAGUGGUGGUGGUGAUGAUGAUAGUAGCAGUAGUAGUAGUAGUAGUAGCAGUAGUAUUA
Ictalurus punctatus (channel catfish) is the source of this 488-nucleotide long non-coding RNA. The record is from Ensembl. NCBI's taxonomy places the organism in Eukaryota, Metazoa, Chordata, Actinopteri, Siluriformes, Ictaluridae.